AACGAACGCUGGCGGCAUGCCUAACACAUGCAAGUCGAACGAGACCUUCGGGUCUAGUGGCGCACGGGUGCGUAACGCGUGGGAACCUGCCCUUAGGUUCGGAAUAACUCCCCGAAAGGGGUGCUAAUACCGGAUAAUGUCUUCGGACCAAAGAUUUAUCGCCUUUGGAUGGGCCCGCGUUGGAUUAGCUAGUUGGUAGGGUAAAAGCCUACCAAGGCGACGAUCCAUAGCUGGUCUGAGAGGAUGAUCAGCCACACUGGGACUGAGACACGGCCCAGACUCCUACGGGAGGCAGGAGUGGGGAAUAUUGGAAAAUGGGCGAAAGCCUGAUCCAGCAAUGACGCGUGAGUGAUGAAGGCCGUAGGGUUGUAAAGCUAUUUUACCCGGGAUGAUAAUGACAGUACCGGGAGAAUAAGCUCCGGCUAACUCCGUG
RNAcentral lists this ribosomal RNA (433 nucleotides) under uncultured bacterium. RNAcentral describes it as "partial 16S ribosomal RNA". It matches the Rfam family "Bacterial small subunit ribosomal RNA", at positions 29 to 507 of the family's 1533-position model. The record is from RNAcentral.